Molecule: microRNA precursor, 61 nt
Filed under: Melibe leonina
Lineage: Eukaryota; Metazoa; Mollusca; Gastropoda; Nudibranchia; Dendronotidae
Description: microRNA mle-mir-981 precursor
Gene: mle-mir-981
Source: miRBase by way of RNAcentral
CGGGUUUCGCGAUCUGCGAACAGUCCGCUAAAACUGUGUUCGUUGUCGUCGAAACCUGCCU